Molecule: ribosomal RNA, 545 nt
Filed under: uncultured bacterium
Lineage: Bacteria
Description: partial 16S ribosomal RNA
Rfam family: Bacterial small subunit ribosomal RNA
Source: RNAcentral
UGGGGAAUUUUGGACAAUGGGCGCAAGCCUGAUCCAGCCAUGCCGCGUGCGGGAAGAAGGCCUUCGGGUUGUAAACCGCUUUUGUCAGGGAAGAAAUCUUCUGAGUUAAUACCUCGGGAGGAUGACGGUACCUGAAGAAUAAGCACCGGCUAACUACGUGCCAGCAGCCGCGGUAAUACGUAGGGUGCAAGCGUUAAUCGGAAUUACUGGGCGUAAAGCGUGCGCAGGCGGUUUUGUAAGACAGAGGUGAAAUCCCCGGGCUCAACCUGGGAACUGCCUUUGUGACUGCAAGGCUUGAGUGCGGCAGAGGGGGAUGGAAUUCCGCGUGUAGCAGUGAAAAUGCGUAGAUAUGCGGAGGAACACCGAUGGCGAAGGCAAAUCCCCUGGGCCUGCACUGACGCUCAUGCACGAAAGCGUGGGGAGCAAACAGGAUUAGAUAGCCCUGGUAGUCCACGCCCUAAAACGAUGUCAACUGGUUGUUGGGAAGGUUCCUUCUCAGUAACGUAGCUAACGCGUGAAGUUGACCGCCUGGGGAGUACGGCCGC